CACCGGUGGCGUAGGCNGGUCUCUGGGCCGUUACUGACGCUGAGGAGCGAAAGCGUGGGGAGCGAACAGGAUUAGAUACCCUGGUAGUNCACGCUGUAAACGUUGGGCACUAGGUGUGGGGGCCACCCGUGGUUCCCGCGCCGUAGCUAACGCUUUAAGUGCCCCGCCUGGGGAGUACGGCCGCAAGGCUAAAACUCAAAGGAAUUGACGGGGGCCCGCACAAGCGGCGGAGCAUGCGGAUUAAUUCGAUGCAACGCGAAGAACCUUACCGAGGCUUGACAUGCGCCCCGGGCGCGCGGAGACGCGCGCGCAUUUGGUUGGGGGUGUGCAGGUGGUGCAUGGUUGUCGUCAGCUCGUGUCGUGAGAUGUUGGGUUAAGUCCCGCAACGAGCGCAACCCUUGCCCUAUGUUGCCAGCGCGUUGUGGCGGGGACUCGUGGGGGACUGCCGGGGUUAACUCGGAGGAAGGUGGGGAUGACGUCAAAUCAUCAUGCCCCUUAUGUCUUGGGCUUCACGCAUGCUACAAUGGCCGGUACAGAGGGUUGCGAUGCCGUGAGGCGGGGCGAAUCCCUUAAAGCCGGUCUCAGUUCGGAUUGGGGUCUGCAACUCGACCCCAUGAAGGUGGAGUCGCUAGUAAUCGCAGAUCAGCAACGCUGCGGUGAAUACGUUCUCGGGCCUUGUACACACC
Molecule: ribosomal RNA, 686 nt
Filed under: uncultured bacterium
Lineage: Bacteria
Description: bacterial SSU rRNA
Rfam family: Bacterial small subunit ribosomal RNA
Source: RNAcentral